AACGAACGCUGGCGGCAGGCCUAACACAUGCAAGUCGAACGCCGUAGCAAUACGGAGUGGCAGACGGGUGAGUAACGCGUGGGAACAUACCCUCCGGUUCGGAAUAACUCAGGGAAACUUGAGCUAAUACCGGAUACGUCCAAGGUUUUAAUCGGCCUUGGAGAAAGAUUUAUCGCUGGAGGAUUGGCCCGCGUCUGAUUAGCUUGUUGGUGAGGUAAUGGCUCACCAAGGCGACGAUCAGUAGCUGGUCUGAGAGGAUGAUCAGCCACAUUGGGACUGAGACACGGCCCAAACUCCUACGGGAGGCAGCAGUGGGGAAUAUUGGACAAUGGGCGAAAGCCUGAUCCAGCCAUGCCGCGUGAGUGAUGAAGGCCUUAGGGUUGUAAAGCUCUUUUACCCGGGAAGAUAAUGACGGUACCGGGAGAAUAAGCCCCGGCUAACUUCGUGCCAGCAGCCGCGGUAAG
This 464-nucleotide ribosomal RNA is filed under the name uncultured bacterium. RNAcentral's name for it is "bacterial SSU rRNA". It matches the Rfam family "Bacterial small subunit ribosomal RNA", at positions 29 to 524 of the family's 1533-position model. The record is from RNAcentral.